UGGGCCCCUCGGUGCUGCUCGCCAAAGUGAAAGUGAAAUGAGGAAGGACGGCCGAGUGGUCUGCAGGAGAAGAGUAAUUAGUGUGAACCAUCUGUGUCAAGGUUCACAUUAAGCCUCACCACCCUCAGGCUCGCUUAAAAGACUGGAGUGAAACUACGGAGACUGUCGUUGAGGAGGAAGAAAGAGGACAGCCCUCCUGAUUCUUUAGAGAUUGGGUGGAGAACUCUUCCCAUAUCAUUGAGUGUUUUCUAGUCAGAGGACCUUAAACUGCUGGAUUUCUCACUUGGUUUUCAGCUGUGGUCAGAACACUUGAUAUAGCCUUUCUCCCUCUGGGGGGAAAGAAAACAACAUCCUCUCCACACAUUGUCAGACUCAUGAGGCCACAACUGACAUACAUGCUGGAAGGAGAAAGUGCUCUAUGGUGCCUUGUUUUCUCUUUUGAAUUACGUCCUCCUGAGACUGUGGCUGACCCUAGGCCCAUGGCGUUCCUGCAUGUGAUUGACGUGCGUGAUUAGCAGGCUAGUGAGAGUACCAGGGAAAUUGCUGUCAAAACAAUUACAUACAGGGACAUCAGAACAAUGGCUUGAGAGCCCCCAGGGACUUAGAGACCAUCCUAGCUCUGCCACGCAUGCCCUCUGGGACCGUGGCCAAGUCACAUCAUCUCUUUGUGUCUUCGGUUUCUUCUGUCUGACCAAUACAGGAAAUAAUCUUUGAAGAUUUGGUAAGACUCACCUCUUUGGGUGUGAUUAUCUUGGAGCAAAGCCUGCUUCCUAGGUGUGAGCUUAUGCAGUUACCCUGGGCCCCACACUCGGAAAGAAAUACCAAAUUCCCUUGUCAACUGCAUCAUUUUUAUAGUGAACUGUCAUCAGAGCUUUAACCACUGCCAUUUUAAGUUUUUGUCGGCAACAGAUAGUUUUUGUUUUACUCUGAUUCUUCUCUGAGAGCAUUGGCAAUUGGCUAUAGGCCAGAGUGCUUCAUCUUCAGCAAAAAGGGAUUGUCUCUGAGACCCAUGGAAAGGACUGGCUAUGACAGGUCUCUGGGAUACAGGCUUCUGAUGGCACUGUUUAAAUAACUUUGAGACCAUACCAUUCAACUGAGAAAGGAUUUCCAGAACUCAAGUAAAGAAUCUGAUGGGUGCAUAAAACUGCUAACCCAAGACCAAGCAGAAUGAGAAUUGAUUGCAUGAGAUUGAAUGAACUGAUGGAGGAUGAUUAUAGCCUUUGUUUGGAAUAUUGCUGCUGGAUUUAAGGAACCUCUUUCCCUUUUCUCUUGAGUUAUCACUCACAACAGUUUAGAAGAUAAUACUUUUAUAAACAGAAGUGAAACAUUUAUCUUUUUCCCUGCCUGAUCCCUCCGGACUUCAGAAACUCUUAUUGAGAAUUCUCAUUUUAAUGGCAAUAUAAUUAUUUGCAUAAGUUCAGUAAGAGUCUGUCCUCCUUGAACAGAAUUUACUUGGAAACAUUGGUUAUAUAACAAAGGCUUUUACUGGAAUGUCAUAUUUGAGAAUAUUGUAGAUAGAAUCAUAUACAAACAGAUAAUUUUAAGGAACUCAGGCUGACUUUAUGGAGCCAAUGCUUACAAAGCUCAUUUGAGAAAACUGGGCUGGUAGCUAGUUUACAGGGUUCCAAGCCUUACAGAUGAAUAAGGAAGGUUGCUUCCUGGCAAACCCAGGAAGCUUAGGAUAUUUUGGGGACCUAGAGAAAAGAGAAAUUUACCCAAAUCUAUAGGUUCUACAGGUAAUACCUGGUGGCAAGUUCUUGGCUUGGCUUCCUACCAUUGAAAGGCUUUUAAAAAUCUAAUUUGAGAUUACUUUUGAAGAGUUCCAGCAAAGCAAACUUACAAAAGUCUUUGUGGUUGAUUACUGUUCUUGCUGCACUUAUGUAAAUAAUAGACCAAAUCUAAUGAGACCAGACUUAAGAAUAAUGAAAAAAAGCGUGGGUGUAAAGAGAAAUUUUCUGUCAGUGGAAAACUAUAGCAUACCCUUGUGGGUUAUGACUCUAGUCCUGUUCAUUAUCUUUCAGGUUUUGUUAUCUCCUUGUAAAUUGGACUGAAUCUUGCCAUCUUGCACAUUUUGUCAGUCCUUACUAAAUUCUAGAUUCUUAUAGUUUCCUCCAGUAUCUGGCUACAACUCUUCAAAUUAACAUUUCCAACUGUUCUCCCACUUUCCCAACUUGGUGUCACUGAGAACCAAAAACCUGUUUGCCCAGUUCCUUACUGGAACUCUAGGUUGUCUUGCAAGCUGAAACUGGAUGACAGGCAACCUUCAUGCCUGGAGCUGCUGCUGUGUAGGCCACUCAGGAAGUUUACUGAAAGUUCCACAUCUUCCAUGCUCUGCUCUGGGAAAUAACGAUGACUGUGACACUGAUUUCUAUGCCAUCACCAAAGAUAUUCAAACUGCAAACCAGGAAAUUUGUCAGAUUGCCACUAUUGUUCUCACUAUACCAUCUAAAGACGCUUCAAGCCCAACAUUUAGAAAUCUUCUCAACUGGCUUCCCUCUGGACUCAGAAACUGGUUUUAUAGUUUGUUCCAACCUUUAAUCUUUGCUUUUCUUUUUAUUUUCAUAGAAAUUCCCCUUAUUAAAUGCCUGAUGAUUUGCACUAUCCAGCAAAUAUACUCUACUACCAAGUUCCAACAGAUGGUUCAGUUUGUUCUUAAUGAACAAAAGGAGACUGAACGAGAAAUGGACUUAUAUUGUUCAGAGGAAAGAAAAAUGUUUCUUCUCCCCUGAGCAAGAUGAGGGGCUGACAAACUCUCAGGCCAUCACCACAGCCUUGUCUUGUCUUUGCCAUGUGUAGUCCAGUUUUAACAAGAAUGCUGCUGAAUAAGUUUAGUCAAGGUCCCCCCCACUAUUACUAUCUGAUCCCUCUCAAUACAUGGUCAGGUCCCUCAUCCCUCACGUUUGAUGUAUAAGUCCUUCACCUGCCUUUUGCAGGAAACCCGUUAAAAAGUCAUCCCUUUAUUCUUGAUGUUUCCUCUUAGUAAUUUUCAAUCCACUGACCCCCUCACUUUGCUCGUUGACUGUAAAUUGCCACUUGUCCUGUUGUAUUGGGAGUUGAGCCCUGUCUCUCUCUCCUGUUGCAAUAGAGUCAGCUCCUAGUACAAUAGUCUUGAAUAAAGUCUUCUUUACUGUUUUAACAUGUGUCAAAAUAAUUUUUUUCUUUAACAGACACAUCAGGCAAAAGGGGUUUCUUAAAUCAGUAAAUAAGCCACGAGAAACAUUAGAAUCAGCCUCUCCUCUUUACAGGUCAUUUUGUCCUAUCUCCCACCCAGUUUUGGAAUCCCUCAAAC
This is a long non-coding RNA of Physeter macrocephalus (sperm whale), 3289 nucleotides long. RefSeq lists it as uncharacterized. The record is from RefSeq and is a predicted model, not a curated record. NCBI's taxonomy places the organism in Eukaryota, Metazoa, Chordata, Mammalia, Artiodactyla, Physeteridae. The transcript is spliced from 4 exons.